GAUGAACGCUGGCGGCGUGCCUAAUACAUGCAAGUCGAGCGAACGGACGAGAAGCUUGCUUCUCUGAUGUUAGCGGCGGACGGGUGAGUAACACGUGGAUAACCUACCUAUAAGACUGGGAUAACUUCGGGAAACCGGAGCUAAUACCGGAUGAUAUUUUGAACCGCAUGGUUCAAAAGUGAAAGACGGUCUUGCUGCCACUUAUAGAUGGAUCCGCGCUGCAUUAGCUAGUUGGUAAGGUAACGGCUUACCAAGGCAACGAUGCAUAGCCGACCUGAGAGGGUGAUCGGCCACACUGGAACUGAGACACGGUCCAGACUCCUACGGGAGGCAGCAGUAGGGAAUCUUCCGCAAUGGGCGAAAGCCUGACGGAGCAACGCCGCGUGAGUGAUGAAGGUCUUCGGAUCGUAAAACUCUGUUAUUAGGGAAGAACAUAUGUGUAAGUAACUGUGCACAUCUUGACGGUACCUAAUCAGAAAGCCACGGCUAACCACGUG
Molecule: ribosomal RNA, 497 nt
Filed under: uncultured bacterium
Lineage: Bacteria
Description: partial 16S ribosomal RNA
Rfam family: Bacterial small subunit ribosomal RNA
Source: RNAcentral